AUACGGAGGGUCCAAGCGUUAUCCGGAUUCAUUGGGUUUAAAGGGUCCGCAGGCGGGAAAAUAAGUCAGUGGUGAAAGCCUACAGCUCAACUGUAGAACUGCCAUUGAAACUGUUUUUCUUGAGUAUAGAUGAAGUGGGCGGAAUAUAUCAUGUAGCGGUGAAAUGCAUAGAUAUGAUAUAGAACACCGAUUGCGAAGGCAGCUCACUAAACUAUUACUGACGCUCAGGGACGAAAGCGUGGGGAGCGAACAGGAUUAGAUACCCGGGUAGUCC
Molecule: ribosomal RNA, 274 nt
Filed under: uncultured bacterium
Lineage: Bacteria
Description: partial 16S ribosomal RNA
Rfam family: Bacterial small subunit ribosomal RNA
Source: RNAcentral